UAGCCUAUCAGGUUCAGUUUAAAUUGUA
This 28-nucleotide non-coding RNA is filed under the name Homo sapiens (human). The record is from RNAcentral. Lineage: Eukaryota; Metazoa; Chordata; Mammalia; Primates; Hominidae.